AUGAUCACAGUCCAGGUAACUUGUCUUGAUAUUGCCACUUGUCUUAGUGUCUGUUUACAUGGAGGUUUUUCCAACAGCCAGAGAAAUCAGAGCCAAGGCAACGUUAGGCCAUUUAGGCCAUUUGUUUGGACUCCAAAUCCACAAUGUAGAGAUGGUUCAGGAACCUGAUGCUGGCAAUGUGAGAGGCAGACAUGCAAGAAUACAGAAACAAGUGCUACAAAGAUUUGGGGACCAUCACACUGUGGGAAUGUUCGCAUUUGCCCUUGAUCACCAGACUCAGUAGGAAAAAUGAACCUCCUGGGCCCUAAGUGAACCCCACCUAACUGUUUGCAGUUUAUCACAUCUGGAAGGCAGAGGCCAAGUGGGAACUAUGGAAAGGAGACACUGUGUUCAAAGAUAAAAGUACUUUGCUGUCCAGGCAGAUUCUAAGUCAAUCCAUCUGGCACAAGUGAUCUCAAAACCAAAAUGGCUUUGGCCCCAUUAUCUGACGGUGAAUAUGGCUGUGGCAGAACCACCUGCGGGCCUCUGAUGCCGUUGCCUCUGCUGAAGCCCUUUUCAGACAGCCUGGUGCCUUGCUCGCUAGUAUCCACACAGCAGAUUUAUUAAGGAGCAUCUUCAUGCCUCCUGGGUGACUGGAUGGCUCUCUGGCGGUCUCUGGUGGUGAAUAUUAUAUAUGCGUCUAGAGGGAACAGCUGAAUACUUGACUGCAUUAGAGCAAACACAAAAACAAACAUUUGAACAAAUAUGCUAAAAUUCUCUGGUAUGAACCUAAGUCCGAUAGUAACUUCUAGUUGUUAACUCAGAAAGAUCAUGGUAUCAUUUAUGUAUGACAUAGAGUAGCAUCUUAGAAUGAGUUAUCCAUAUAAUAUUUAAUCUCUCUCUCCCUCCCUCCUCCCCUCACACCCUCCCUCUUCCACCAACAAAAACUCAAUUUCUCCAGUAGUUCUUCUAACAGGCAAUUCUCAAGAUAUGUCUGUGGGUGUAUAUAAUUUACUGUUAAUUUUUUGAUAACCAGCUCUCUGUAGAUCUGAACAUUAAACAUCCUAAUUAUUACAGUUUCAAAUGUCUAUUUUAGCAAUUUGCUAUUGUACCAGUUAGUGAAUUGGACAUAAUGAGUUAUUAUACCAAAGAGAACUGCUAUGUGUACCUCAACACAUACAUAUCUGGGCUGCAUGUUACUAAGUACAUGCAGGGUUCUUUUUAAUUCUUGCUAUAGUGUGUCUAAUCAGUGACAUAAACAUCAUCCAUUAGUCAGUUCAGCCUUCCCUGAAGUAUUAGUAUGCUAAACAAUCCUAUUACCAAAGCAUUAUUUUGAUACUUUAUUAAAAGUCCUACAGCUCUAGCAUUGCUAUACUCAAACAUAGCUUUAUGCAAUUAGGAUUAUAAUGGAAGCU
Molecule: RNA transcript, 1394 nt
Organism: Odobenus rosmarus divergens (Pacific walrus)
Lineage: Eukaryota; Metazoa; Chordata; Mammalia; Carnivora; Odobenidae
Exons: 2
Source: RefSeq, a predicted model, not a curated record